RNAcentral lists this ribosomal RNA (265 nucleotides) under uncultured bacterium. Its description in RNAcentral is "partial 16S ribosomal RNA". It matches the Rfam family "Bacterial small subunit ribosomal RNA", at positions 15 to 273 of the family's 1533-position model. The record is from RNAcentral.
GAUCCUGGCUCAGGAUGAACGCUAGCGGCAGGCUUAACACAUGCAAGUCGAGGGGCAGCGCGGGGCGGCAACGUCCUGGCGGCGACCGGCGGAAGGGUGCGUAACGCGUGAGCGACAUGCCCGUUGCCCGGGGACAACCGGUGGAAACGCCGACUAAUCCCCGAUGGGACGGAGGCCCUCAUGGGUCUCUGUUGAAAGUUACGGUGGUUUCGACGGAUUGGCUCGCGUCCGAUUAGCUAGUUGGCGGGGUAACGGCCCACCAAGG